Molecule: ribosomal RNA, 397 nt
Filed under: uncultured bacterium
Lineage: Bacteria
Description: partial 16S ribosomal RNA
Rfam family: Bacterial small subunit ribosomal RNA
Source: RNAcentral
AUACGUAGGGGGCAAGCGUUAUCCGGAUUUACUGGGUGUAAAGGGAGCGUAGACGGAAGGCUAAGUCUGUUGUGAAAGCCCGCGGCUCAACUGCGGGACUGCAUUGGAAACUGGUCAUCUGGAGUGCAGGAGGGGAAAGCGGAAUUCCUAGUGUAGCGGUGAAAUGCGUAGAGAUCGGGAGGAACACCAGUGGCGAAGGCGGGUAACUGGACUGCAACUGACGCUGAGGCGCGAAAGUGUGGGGAGCAAACAGGAUUAGAUACCCUGGUAGUCCACACUGUAAACGAUGAAUGCUAGGUGUAAGAGGUAUCGACCCCUUUUGUGCCGGAGUCAACACAAUAAGCAUUCCGCCUGGGGAGUACGGCCGCAAGGUUGAAACUCAAAGGAAUUGACGGGG